Molecule: ribosomal RNA, 583 nt
Filed under: uncultured bacterium
Lineage: Bacteria
Description: partial 16S ribosomal RNA
Rfam family: Bacterial small subunit ribosomal RNA
Source: RNAcentral
UGGGGAAUUUUGGACAAUGGGCGAAAGCCUGAUCCAGCAAUGCCGCGUGUGUGAAGAAGGCCUUCGGGUUGUAAAGCACUUUUGUCCGGAAAGAAAUCCUUGGCUCUAAUACAGUCGGGGGAUGACGGUACCGGAAGAAUAAGCACCGGCUAACUACGUGCCAGCAGCCGCGGUAAUACGUAGGGUGCAAGCGUUAAUCGGAAUUACUGGGCGUAAAGCGUGCGCAGGCGGUUUGCUAAGACCGAUGUGAAAUCCCCGGGCUCAACCUGGGAACUGCAUUGGUGACUGGCAGGCUAGAGUAUGGCAGAGGGGGGUAGAAUUCCACGUGUAGCAGUGAAAUGCGUAGAGAUGUGGAGGAAUACCGAUGGCGAAGGCAGCCCCCUGGGCCAAUACUGACGCUCAUGCACGAAAGCGUGGGGAGCAAACAGGAUUAGAUACCCUGGUAGUCCACGCCCUAAACGAUGUCAACUAGUUGUUGGGGAUUCAUUCCUUAGUAACGUAGCUAACGCGUGAAGUUGACCGCCUGGGGAGUACGGUCGCAAGAUUAAAACUUAAAUGAAUUGACGGGGUCAUAGCUGUUUCC